AAAAAAGCAGGGUCUUGUUGCCUCUUGUGAACUGGGCUCUCGUAAACUUCAGGAAAAUCACUUCCAUUGUUAUUGGGUGAACCUCUGUUUUUCUGUUUGUGGCUGAAGGUUCAGUAAAUGAUGAUACAUUU
Small nucleolar RNA from Manihot esculenta (cassava), 131 nucleotides. RefSeq annotates it as small nucleolar RNA snoR74. The record is from RefSeq and is a predicted model, not a curated record. The transcript has a single exon. NCBI's taxonomy places the organism in Eukaryota, Viridiplantae, Streptophyta, Magnoliopsida, Malpighiales, Euphorbiaceae.